RNAcentral lists this ribosomal RNA (465 nucleotides) under uncultured bacterium. RNAcentral describes it as "partial 16S ribosomal RNA". It matches the Rfam family "Bacterial small subunit ribosomal RNA", at positions 338 to 795 of the family's 1533-position model. The record is from RNAcentral.
CCUACGGGAGGCAGCAGUGGGGAAUAUUGCGCAAUGGGCGAAAGCCUGACGCAGCGACGCCGCGUGAGGGAUGAAGGUCUUCGGAUCGUAAACCUCUGUCAGCAGGGAAGAACGGUCACUGUGCUAAUCAGCAGUGAAUUGACGGUACCUGAAAAGGAAGCACCGGCUAACCACGUGCCAGCAGCCGCGGUAAUACGGAGGGUGCGAGCGUUAAUCGGAAUUACUGGGCGUAAAGCGCUCGUAGGCGGUAUGUCAAGUCAAGUGUGAAAUCCCCGCGCUCAACGUGGGAACUGCCUUUGAAACUGGCCAACUUGAGUGUGUGAGAGGAUAGUGGAAUUCCAGGUGUAGGAGUGAAAUCCGUAGAUAUCUGGAGGAACAUCAGUGGCGAAGGCGACUAUCUGGCACAUAACUGACGCUGAGGAGCGAAAGCGUGGGUAGCAAACAGGAUUAGAUACCCGGGUAGUC